Molecule: long non-coding RNA, 892 nt
Organism: Mustela erminea (ermine)
Lineage: Eukaryota; Metazoa; Chordata; Mammalia; Carnivora; Mustelidae
Exons: 3
Source: RefSeq, a predicted model, not a curated record
GUGCCCGUGAGGACGAAGCCAGCCAGGCUGCUCUGAGUCACUUCACACCCCUUAAGCUGAUCAGGGGGUUACCCCCACACAUGGAAAGCCUCUCCGUUAUCCAGAGUCGAUUUCUGUUGGCUUGUCAACCAGUCCUAUCUCCUGUGUGCGGAAAGCCCCCAGACGAGCACCUAUGAGAGAAAUACCAAACCACGCCACCUGGUCUCUCGGGCAGCAUAUUCUCCCCACCUGCAGGACAAGCUCUGCAAGCUGAAAGCCUGCCACUGGUGACUGGGAAGAAGCAGGCACAACUGCAAAGGCAGAGCAGCCAGAACUUUCUCCUCCUGCAGCAAACAAACCGUCACUUGGGAUCUGACCGCCUUCUCUCUGCCUGGCAUUUGUCUAGGCAAGGGGUUGACAAGCCUGCAGGCCAAAGACGCCCACUUAAAUGGUUGGGGAAAAAAACAAUCCCAAGAAGAAAAUCUCACAACGUGGGAAAAUGGCAUGAGAUCCAAAUUUCGGUGUCCAGAGAUAAAGGUCAUAAGGAACAUGGCGGUGCCCAUUCAUUCGGGCGUUCUCGUGCGCGGCAGCUCUGGGGUUCCGCCAGGAGGGCCGAGUCAUUUUGAAAGAGACUGUAUGGACUGUGCAGCCGAAAGUAUUUUCUAUCUAGCCCCGCAUGGAAAGAGUUUGCCAACCCCUGGCUGAAACGCUAGAGGGAGAUUAAAACAAAGAAGGAGCAGAGAUCCGCUGUGCACACCGCAGGAAAGGAGCUGCGAAAGCAGGGAGUUCACUGGACCUGCCACCAAGGCAAGGUAGGAGCACGCUUAAGCAGACAAGAAGAAAGGAGGGUGGCACGGCACCAAGAAGGGAGUCACAACAAUAUCGACAACAGUAAUAAUAACAGUUGCUAUGC